This is a small nucleolar RNA of Mytilus californianus (California mussel), 76 nucleotides long. The record is from RefSeq and is a predicted model, not a curated record. NCBI's taxonomy places the organism in Eukaryota, Metazoa, Mollusca, Bivalvia, Mytilida, Mytilidae.
UAGCAAUGAUGUAAGAAUUUCUUCACCUGACAGAAGUCAUGAAGAUUAAAAUCCGAGCUUUUUAAAACUGAGCUAG